This 539-nucleotide long non-coding RNA is filed under the name Homo sapiens (human). RNAcentral's name for it is "long intergenic non-protein coding RNA 1002". Lineage: Eukaryota; Metazoa; Chordata; Mammalia; Primates; Hominidae. The record is from RNAcentral.
CACUCAGGAUGGAGUUCAGUGGUCCUAUCAUGGCUCAUUAUAGCCUCAAACUCCCAGGCUCAAGCAAUCCUACCAUGUCAGCCUUCCCAGUAGCUGGAACUACAGGCUGGAGUACAGUGGCACAACCUCUGCUCACUGCAGCCUCCACCUGCCAGGCUCAAGCAAUUCUCCUGCCUCAGCCUCCCGAGUAGCUGGGAUUACAGGUGGACAGUCUAGUUGCAGGAAAACAAGCUCAGAGAUCCCACUGAGUCUACAUUAUACUGGAUCUACCAUGAAAGACUUGUGAAUCCAGGAAGAGAGACUGACUGGGCAACAUGUUAUUCAGGUGGGAACAUCCAGUUGCAGGAAAACAAGCUUAACACGCCCACUGAUUCUACAUUAUGCUCCUACCUCCCGGCAGCCUCUCCAGGCCCAGAACUUUCUCCAGUCAGCCUCUACAGACCAAGCUCAUGACUCUCAAUGGCCUAUUUAGGCCCAUACCCUACGUCACGGCAGCCUCCGCAGAUGAGGCUACUGCCUCACAACAGCCUCCACAGGCA